CGUUAGCGGCGGACGGGUGAGUAACACGUGGAUAACCUACCUAUAAGACUGGGAUAACUUCGGGAAACCGGAGCUAAUACCGGAUAAUAUAUUGAACCGCAUGGUUCAAUAGUGAAAGACGGUUUUACUGUCACUUAUAGAUGGAUCCGCGCCGCAUUAGCUAGUUGGUAAGGUAACGGCUUACCAAGGCAACGAUGCGUAGCCGACCUGAGAGGGUGAUCGGCCACACUGGAACUGAGACACGGUCCAGACUCCUACGGGAGGCAGCAGUA
Molecule: ribosomal RNA, 272 nt
Filed under: uncultured Staphylococcus sp.
Lineage: Bacteria; Bacillati; Bacillota; Bacilli; Caryophanales; Staphylococcaceae
Description: partial 16S ribosomal RNA
Rfam family: Bacterial small subunit ribosomal RNA
Source: RNAcentral